This 864-nucleotide ribosomal RNA is filed under the name uncultured SAR324 cluster bacterium. RNAcentral's name for it is "SSU rRNA". It matches the Rfam family "Bacterial small subunit ribosomal RNA", at positions 22 to 901 of the family's 1533-position model. Lineage: Bacteria; Deltaproteobacteria. The record is from RNAcentral.
GCUCAGGACGAACGCUGGCGGCAUGCCUAACACAUGCAAGUCGAACGAGAAAGUUCCUUCGGGAGCAAUUAAAGUGGCGCACGGGUGAGUAACGCGUAGACAAUCUGCCCUUCAGUCUGGGACAACUUUUCGAAAGGAGAGCUAAUACCGGAUAACAAUGCAUGACACAAGUUGUAUAUUUGAAAGCUUUAUGUGCUGAAGGAGGGGUCUGCGUCCCAUUAGCUAGUUGGUAAGGUAAAGGCUUACCAAGGCGACGAUGGGUAGCGGGUUUGAGAGGACGAUCCGCCACACUGGAACUGAGACACGGUCCAGACUCCUACGGGAGGCAGCAGUGGGGAAUAUUGCACAAUGGAGGAAACUCUGAUGCAGCAAUGUCGCGUGAGUGAAGAAGGCCCUUGGGUCGUAAAGCUCUUUUAUGGGGGAAGAUGAUGACGGUACCCCAAGAAUAAGCACCGGCUAACUAUGUGCCAGCAGCCGCGGUAAUACAUAGGGUGCGAGCGUUGUUCGGAAUUACUGGGCGUAAAGGGCGCGCAGGCGGAAUAGUAAGUCGGAGGUGAAAGCCCGGGGCUCAACCCCGGAGGGUCUUUCGAAACUACUAAUCUAGAGAGGGUCAGGGGCCGGCAGAAUUCCUGGUGUAGAGGUGAAAUUCGUAGAUAUCAGGAGGAAUACCGGUGGCGAAGGCGGCCGGCUGGGGCCACUCUGACGCUGAGGCGCGAAAGCGUGGGGAGCAAACAGGAUUAGAUACCCUGGUAGUCCACGCCGUAAACGAUGAGCACUGGACGUCCGGAGGGUUCGACCCUUCUGGGUGUCUCAGCUAACGCAUUAAGUGCUCCGCCUGGGGAGUACGGUCGCAAGACUAAAACU